GGGGUAACGUAGGGAAACUUACGCUAAUACCGCUACGACCUACGGGUGAAGGCAGGGGAUCUUCGGACCUUGCGCGUUGAAUGAGCCGAUGUCGGAUAGCUAGUUGGCGGGGUAAAGGCCCACCAAGGCGACGAUCCUAGCUGGUCUGAGAGGAUGAUCAGCCACACUGGAACUGAGACACGGUCCAGACUCCUACGGGAGGCAGCAGUGGGGAAUAUUGGACAAUGGGCGCAAGCCUGAUCCAGCCAUACCGCGUGGGUGAAGAAGGCCUUCGGGUUGUAAAGCCCUUUUGUUGGGAAAGAAAUCCAGCCGGCUAAUACCUGGUUGGGAUGACGGUACCCAAAGAAUAAGCACCGGCUAACUUCGUGCCAGCAGCC
Molecule: ribosomal RNA, 377 nt
Filed under: Stenotrophomonas maltophilia
Lineage: Bacteria; Pseudomonadati; Pseudomonadota; Gammaproteobacteria; Lysobacterales; Lysobacteraceae
Description: bacterial SSU rRNA
Rfam family: Bacterial small subunit ribosomal RNA
Source: RNAcentral